This 520-nucleotide ribosomal RNA is filed under the name uncultured Glomus. RNAcentral's name for it is "SSU rRNA". It matches the Rfam family "Eukaryotic small subunit ribosomal RNA", at positions 569 to 1090 of the family's 1831-position model. The record is from RNAcentral. Lineage: Eukaryota; Fungi; Glomeromycota; Glomeromycetes; Glomerales; Glomeraceae.
AGCAGCCGCGGUAAUUCCAGCUCCAAUAGCGUAUAUUAAAGUUGUUGCAGUUAAAAAGCUCGUAGUUGAAUUUCGGGGUCAAUAAGUUGGUCGUGCCAAUGGUAUGUACUGGCUUUAUUGAUUCCUACCUCUUGACGAACUGUGAUGCCAUUAAUUUGGUGUUGCAGGAAAUCAGGACUGUUACCUUGAAAAAUUAGAGUGUUUAAAGCAGGCUUACGCUUGAAUACAUUAGCAUGGAAUAAUGAAAUAGGACGUUUGAACCUAUUUUGUUGGUUUCUAGGAUCGACGUAAUGAUUAAUAGGGAUAGUUGGGGGCAUUAGUAUUCAAUUGUCAGAGGUGAAAUUCUUGGAUUUAUUGAAGACUAACUACUGCGAAAGCAUUUGCCAAGGAUGUUUUCAUUAAUCAAGAACGAAAGUUAGGGGAUCGAAGACGAUCAGAUACCGUCGUAGUCUUAACCAUAAACUAUGCCGACUAGGGAUCGGAUGAUGUUAAUUUUUUAAUGUACUCAUUCGGCGUCCUU